This 239-nucleotide ribosomal RNA is filed under the name uncultured bacterium. RNAcentral's name for it is "partial 16S ribosomal RNA". It matches the Rfam family "Bacterial small subunit ribosomal RNA", at positions 524 to 764 of the family's 1533-position model. The record is from RNAcentral.
UACGAAGGGGGCUAGCGUUGCUCGGAAUCACUGGGCGUAAAGGGCGCGUAGGCGGCGUUUUAAGUCGGGGGUGAAAGCCUGUGGCUCAACCACAGAAUGGCCUUCGAUACUGGGACGCUUGAGUAUGGUAGAGGUGGUGGAACUGCGAGUGUAGAGGUGAAAUUCGUAGAUAUUCGCAAGAACACCGGUGGCGAAGGCGGCCAACUGGACCAUUACUGACGCUGAGCGCGAAAGCGUGG